UACGUAGGGUGCGAGCGUUAAUCGGAAUUACUGGGCGUAAAGCGUGCGCAGGCGGUUCGUUGUGUCGGUGGUGAAAGCCCCGGGCUCAACCUGGGAAUUGCGAUGGAGACUGCAAGGCUUGAAUCUGGCAGAGGGGGGUAGAAUUCCACGUGUAGCAGUGAAAUGCGUAGAGAUGUGGAGGAACACCGAUGGCGAAGGCAGCCCCCUGGGUCAAGAUUGACGCUCAUGCACGAAAGCGUGGGGAGCAAACAGG
Molecule: ribosomal RNA, 253 nt
Filed under: uncultured bacterium
Lineage: Bacteria
Description: partial 16S ribosomal RNA
Rfam family: Bacterial small subunit ribosomal RNA
Source: RNAcentral